AAAUACAUUGUCAAGAAUUCCUGCCUUAUAAAGUUGUCCUCUGCAAUACACUUUCAGCCUUUUUCUAUUUGUAAGAGUUCUUGCAAUAUUUUGUUCUUGGUGUUUUUCAGAGAAAAGAGGAAAUACCACAUGCCUGUUAUUUACAUUAGUUAAGCAAGGGAGAAGUAUGCUUAUACAAGCAACCCGCACCUGCAAAGACAAUUCAAGUCUUCAGGGGAAUUCAUGGAUCAAGAAAAAUAAUACAUUCUUCCCAUAUUAUAGAAUAUUUCCAUCACUAAAUAUAACUCGAUGCCAACUUCUGCAGUUUCCAUCUAUAUUACAAAAAGCCCAAUAAAUAGUGGAGUUGGAAACA
Long non-coding RNA from Neofelis nebulosa (Clouded leopard), 352 nucleotides. RefSeq lists it as uncharacterized. Lineage: Eukaryota; Metazoa; Chordata; Mammalia; Carnivora; Felidae. The record is from RefSeq and is a predicted model, not a curated record. The transcript has 2 exons.